CCUACGGGAGGCAGCAGUAGGGAAUCUUUCACAAUGGGCGAAAGCCUGAUGGAGCAACGCCGCGUGCAGGAUGAAGGCCUUCGGGUUGUAAACUGCUUUUAUAAGCGAGAAAUAUGAUGGUAACUUAUGAAUAAGGAUCGGCUAACUACGUGCCAGCAGCCGCGGUCAUACGUAGGAUCCGAGCAUUAUCCGGAGUGACUGGGUGUAAAGAGUUGCGUAGGUGGCAUAAUAAGUAGCUAGUGAAAUCUGGUGGCUCAACCAUUCAGACUACUAGCUAAACUGUUAAGCUCGAGACCGUGAGAGGUAACUGGAAUUUCUAGUGUAGGGGUGAAAUCCGUAGAUAUUAGAAGGAACACCAAUAGCGUAGGCAGGUUGCUGGGACGGUUCUGACGCUAAGGCACGAAAGCGUAGGGAGCAAACGGGAUUAGAUACCCGGGUAGUC
Molecule: ribosomal RNA, 442 nt
Filed under: uncultured bacterium
Lineage: Bacteria
Description: partial 16S ribosomal RNA
Rfam family: Bacterial small subunit ribosomal RNA
Source: RNAcentral